This 169-nucleotide unclassified non-coding RNA is filed under the name uncultured Nectriaceae. RNAcentral's name for it is "sequence contains ITS2". The record is from RNAcentral. Lineage: Eukaryota; Fungi; Ascomycota; Sordariomycetes; Hypocreales; Nectriaceae.
CAACCCUCAAGCCCCCGUGGCUUGGUGUUGGGGAUCGGCCGCAAGCCUUCACGGCAGGCGGCCGGCCCCGAAAUCUAGUGGCGGUCUCGCUGUAGUCCCCCUCUGCGUAGUAAUACACCUCGCACUGGAAGCUCGGCCUGACCACGCCGUAAAACCCCCCACUUCUGAA